GGCGCAGAGGAUGAGUGACACAGGGACUUAAUGCUGAAGGCUGAUGUGACUGCAGGGUACUGAUGCGC
This is a small nucleolar RNA of Cavia aperea (Brazilian guinea pig), 68 nucleotides long. Its record names the gene SNORD82. It matches the Rfam family "Small nucleolar RNA SNORD82". From Rfam's summary of the family: snoRNA U82 or Z25 is found in both humans and mice. U82/Z25 is a member of the C/D class of snoRNA which contain C (UGAUGA) and D (CUGA) box motifs. The record is from Ensembl. Lineage: Eukaryota; Metazoa; Chordata; Mammalia; Rodentia; Caviidae.